CCUACGGGUGGCAGCAGUGGGGAAUAUUGGACAAUGGGGGAAACCCUGAUCCAGCGACGCCGCGUGAGUGAAGAAGGAUUUCGGUACGGAAAGCUCUAUCAGCAGGAAAGAAAAUGACGGUACCUGACUAAGAAGCCCCGGCUAACUACGUGCCAGCAUCCGCGGUAAUACGUAGGGGGCAAGCGUUAUCCGGAUUUACUGGGUGUAAAGGGUGCGUAGGCGGGUGCGCAAGUCUGGAGUGAAAUGCCGGGGCCCAACGCCGGAACUGCUCUGGAAACUGUGAAGCUGGAGUGCAGGAGAGGUAGGCGGAAUUGCUGGUGUAGCGGUGAAAUGCGUAGAUAUCAGGAGGAACACCGACGGCGAAGGCAGCUUACUGGGCUGUAACUGACGUUGAGGCUCGAAGGCGUGGGGAGCAAACAGGAUUAGAUACCCUAGUAGUC
RNAcentral lists this ribosomal RNA (440 nucleotides) under uncultured bacterium. RNAcentral describes it as "partial 16S ribosomal RNA". It matches the Rfam family "Bacterial small subunit ribosomal RNA", at positions 338 to 795 of the family's 1533-position model. The record is from RNAcentral.